Molecule: ribosomal RNA, 1416 nt
Filed under: Acinetobacter calcoaceticus
Lineage: Bacteria; Pseudomonadati; Pseudomonadota; Gammaproteobacteria; Moraxellales; Moraxellaceae
Description: 16S ribosomal RNA
Source: RNAcentral
GCACGUGGUAGCGUCCUCCUUGCGGUUAGACUACCUACUUCUGGUGCRACAAACUCCCAUGGUGUGACGGGCGGUGUGUACAAGGCCCGGGAACGUAUUCACCGCGGCAUUCUGAUCCGCGAUUACUAGCGAUUCCGACUUCAUGGAGUCGAGUUGCAGACUCCAAUCCGGACUACGAUCGGCUUUUUGAGAUUAGCAUCCUAUCGCUAGGUAGCAACCCUUUGUACCGACCAUUGUAGCACGUGUGUAGCCCUGGCCGUAAGGGCCAUGAUGACUUGACGUCGUCCCCGCCUUCCUCCAGUUUGUCACUGGCAGUAUCCUUAAAGUUCCCGACAUUACUCGCUGGCAAAUAAGGAAAAGGGUUGCGCUCGUUGCGGGACUUAACCCAACAUCUCACGACACGAGCUGACGACAGCCAUGCAGCACCUGUAUGUAAGUUCCCGAAGGCACCAAUCCAUCUCUGGAAAGUUCUUACUAUGUCAAGGCCAGGUAAGGUUCUUCGCGUUGCAUCGAAUUAAACCACAUGCUCCACCGCUUGUGCGGGCCCCCGUCAAUUCAUUUGAGUUUUAGUCUUGCGACCGUACUCCCCAGGCGGUCUACUUAUCGCGUUAGCUGCGCCACUAAAGCCUCAAAGGCCCCAACGGCUAGUAGACAUCGUUUACGGCAUGGACUACCAGGGUAUCUAAUCCUGUUUGCUCCCCAUGCUUUCGCACCUCAGCGUCAGUGUUAGGCCAGAUGGCUGCCUUCGCCAUCGGUAUUCCUCCAGAUCUCUACGCAUUUCACCGCUACACCUGGAAUUCUACCAUCCUCUCCCACACUCUAGCUAACCAGUAUCGAAUGCAAUUCCCAAGUUAAGCUCGGGGAUUUCACAUUUGACUUAAUUAGCCGCCUACGCGCGCUUUACGCCCAGUAAAUCCGAUUAACGCUUGCACCCUCUGUAUUACCGCGGCUGCUGGCACAGAGUUAGCCGGUGCUUAUUCUGCGAGUAACGUCCACUAUCUGAAGGUAUUAACUUCAGUAGCCUCCUCCUCGCUUAAAGUGCUUUACAACCAUAAGGCCUUCUUCACACACGCGGCAUGGCUGGAUCAGGCUUGCGCCCAUUGUCCAAUAUUCCCCACUGCUGCCUCCCGUAGGAGUCUGGGCCGUGUCUCAGUCCCAGUGUGGCGGAUCAUCCUCUCAGACCCGCUACAGAUCGUCGCCUUGGUAGGCCUUUACCCCACCAACUAGCUAAUCCGACUUAGGCUCAUCUAUUAGCACAAGGUCCGAAGAUCCCCUGCUUUCUCCCGUAGGACGUAUGCGGUAUUAGCAUUCCUUUCGAAAUGUUGUCCCCCACUAAUAGGCAGAUUCCUAAGCAUUACUCACCCGUCCGCCGCUAAGUGAUGGUGCAAGCACCAUCACUCCGCUCGACUUGCAUGU